RNAcentral lists this ribosomal RNA (497 nucleotides) under uncultured bacterium. Its description in RNAcentral is "partial 16S ribosomal RNA". It matches the Rfam family "Bacterial small subunit ribosomal RNA", at positions 28 to 507 of the family's 1533-position model. The record is from RNAcentral.
GAUGAACGCUGGCGGCGUGCCUAAUACAUGCAAGUCGAGCGAACAGACGAGGAGCUUGCUCCUCUGACGUUAGCGGCGGACGGGUGAGUAACACGUGGAUAACCUACCUAUAAGACUGGGAUAACUUCGGGAAACCGGAGCUAAUACCGGAUAAUAUAUUGAACCGCAUGGUUCAAUAGUGAAAGGCGGUUUUGCUGUCACUUAUAGAUGGAUCCGCGCCGCAUUAGCUAGUUGGUAAGGUAACGGCUUACCAAGGCAACGAUGCGUAGCCGACCUGAGAGGGUGAUCGGCCACACUGGAACUGAGACACGGUCCAGACUCCUACGGGAGGCAGCAGUAGGGAAUCUUCCGCAAUGGGCGAAAGCCUGACGGAGCAACGCCGCGUGAAUGAUGAAGGUCUUCGGAUCGUAAAACUCUGUUAUUAGGGAAGAACAAAUGUGUAAGUAACUAUGCACGUCUUGACGGUACCUAAUCAGAAAGCCACGGCUAACUACGUG